GCCCCUGGGCAAGGACCCAGCAUUGACAGCUGCUGCAACCCCUCCCAGAUCUUUCCUUUACUUCCUGGGGAUGGGGGUGGGAGAAGAAUUUACCACAGGGGUGCCCUUCUCCAUUCCCUGGAGAAGCAUCCCUGAAAAAAUUAUAGGGGAUGGAGAUUUAAUCCUGAGUUCUCUACACAUGUGCCUUGGAUGGCUGAACAUACCAGGACUCCCCAGAGAUGGAGAUCACCUUCCAACUCGGGAGUGAGGGGAUUCCUUCACAAGCAGCUGGAUCAAAGGCUUUCCAGAUUUUCUCAUAUGGCUGCUGAUGGCGUGUGUCAUGAUAGGAUUGGGGGCUGUGUUGGCAAGAAUGAUCUGGAGAUGCUUUAGAAGAAACACAGACUCCGAGAACCACUUUUAUGGCAAUGUUCUCUAUUUCCACAAAGAAACUAAGGGGGCCACGCCAAACAAGAACAAGCCUCUGCAAGGGACACCAGAGAAAAAGAGAGGAGAGAGGAUCUACUCUGCUGGUCUCCAACUCCCAACCCCUACCCCUAGGGCUUAGUCCCCUGGAACCGUCCCCCUACCCACUCCAGCCUGCAUCAGGCUAGUUCUUAGCCAAUAAAACCAGCUCACUCCCUGCCUCCAACCUUCACUUAACCUAGGAUUUCUUUGCUCAGUCCAGUGAGGUGUGGGGGAGAGGUCAGCCUUCCUGAGAAUGGGAAAGUGAGGGAGGACUAAGGUUUCCCAGAAGCUGGGAGGUUGCCUCUUCAGCCAAGUCAUGGAGGAUAGGAUCCAAUGCUUAAAGAUAAGCCAGAGCUACAUUUUUGGAAAUGAAAGUGGCAAAAAGGAGGAUGGCCCAAUUUUAUGGCCCCAAUAUUAUACUUGACUCUUAAUAUUUGUUAUAAAGGAUUUUUUUUUUGUUUAUUUUAGUGGGGAAGAGGAGAAAAUGGAGAAAAUAAAUGCUUGUUGAUUGAAAAAUAAAGUGAAAAAACAAAAGAACCAAGAUCAUCUGAUAUGACUCUAAUAUAUGUCCUCUCUGAUGUUGUCAGAGACACAGACAUACUGGAAGGUUGGCAGAGCCAAGGGGACCUGAAGGGGACUGAAGCAGAGCAGAUCCAGACUCACAGAAGGUGAAGAGGCUCCAGGAUCCUCCGCCAGCUUCAGGCCUCCAGACCCCCAUCCUGGAUGACCUCCAUCUCCCUACCCCUGAGACCCC
RNAcentral lists this long non-coding RNA (1198 nucleotides) under Sarcophilus harrisii (Tasmanian devil). Its description in RNAcentral is "lncRNA (ENSSHAG00000010611.2)". The record is from RNAcentral. Lineage: Eukaryota; Metazoa; Chordata; Mammalia; Dasyuromorphia; Dasyuridae.